CACCGGCAGCUCUAGUGGUAACAAUUUUUAUUGGGCCUAAAGCGUCCGUAGCCGGUUUAAUAAGUCUCUGGUGAAAUCCUGUAGCUUAACUGUGGGAAUUGCUGGAGAUACUAUUAGACUUGAGACCGGGAGAGGUUAGAGGUACUCCCAGGGUAGAGGUGAAAUUCUGUAAUCCUGGGAGGACCGCCUGUUGCGAAGGCGUCUAACUGGAACGGUUCUGACGGUGAGGGACGAAAGUUAGGGGCGCGAACCGGAUUAGAUACCCGGGUAGUCC
Molecule: ribosomal RNA, 274 nt
Filed under: uncultured prokaryote
Description: partial 16S ribosomal RNA
Rfam family: Archaeal small subunit ribosomal RNA
Source: RNAcentral